RNAcentral lists this long non-coding RNA (41492 nucleotides) under Capsella rubella. Its description in RNAcentral is "long non-coding RNA (CRUB_LNC002036)". The record is from RNAcentral. Lineage: Eukaryota; Viridiplantae; Streptophyta; Magnoliopsida; Brassicales; Brassicaceae.
UUUUUUUUUUUUUUUUUUUUGUCAACAGGCUUUGAUUAGUGUGAUAUGCUUUUCUAUGGAUUUAUUAUACUUGCACAAUAUUUGAUUAGCGCCAUGUGUAUAAUUUUAGUUUACAAUGCGGAAUAAUAAUAUAUACUCCUUCUGUUCACAAUUUUUCUUUUUUUAUAACAAAGAGUGAUAUUCUACAUUUUUAGUUUACCCUAAACUCAAAAUUGAAUUUAAAUAAAUCAUUUAUUUAAAUCAUUUACGUAUUAAAUUACGAAAUACAUGUGUAACUUAAACUUUUCUUAGUUUAUAUGAUAUAUGUCAAAAUGAUAAUUUUUGUGAAACUGAAGAAAUAUAACCUUUCGUUUUAGGUAUCUAUAUAUAUAUAUAUAAAACAUGAUCAAGUAGCAUACAAAACAUUGGAUUAGUUUAGUGGUUGUUCAAGAUGAUGUUUAUUAUGUGGGUUAUAUGACACUCAUGACUCAAUUACUAGUUACCUUUAUACUUUAAUGGAUUUUUAUUAGUAAUCCUUAUAAGAAUUAAUUACCUUGAUCAACUCUCACCAGCGCCAGAUUUGUCACAUUGAGAGAUAACUGUAUGAUAUAUAGUUACAGCUCAUAAAAUUAACAAGUACAAAAAAAAAAUUAAAAAAAUCUGAAUUGCAAUUAUAAAAAGAGCUUUUCUAUAAUGACAAAACAACAAAACCCAGAUAGGUUUUAUGAUACACUUGGGAACCCUCACUGCACAUUUCCCCAAAACUGUGACAAUUGUCCAUCACAUCUCUUGAAGAGAACAAAACCCGUUUUCAGAUAAGUCAUGAUCUCUUUGCUUAGAAUGUGACAAGUAGAAUUGUAUGAUAGAAAGACCUCAGGCUUGAGAACAGUUUGUAUAGUUUCAGGUAAAUAACAUCUUCAGUUCCUCUAUACGUGCACUUCGUACUUCUUGAUCGGUUAAAGCCCCUGAGAUCAUUCUCUGCUUCCUCGCCUGAACAGCCUCCAUUCUCUCCUCAACUGUUCCCUAUGAUUUCACAAAGGCAAGACAAACAUAUCCCACAAGUUUCUAAUGAUCAAAUACUCAGCAACAACAUUUGAUGAUUCUGGAUAUUGUAUCAAUGAUUGGUCACAUGACAAAACGAGGAUUUAUGGCUGGAAAUGAAGAGGCUACCUUAAUGAUGAAUCUUCUGAUUUUUACUUCCUUAGUCUGUCCUAUACGAUGAAUACGCAUGACAGCCUGUUCCUCUACCGCUGGGUUCCACCAUGGAUCCUAUAGGACAUAGUUUAGUUUGAUUUUCAAUUGAAUAUAUCUAUUUCGUAUUGUGCAGUACUCAUUUACAAGAUUCUUUUUUCGCAUUUUUUGAAUGAGUUCUAAACAUGGUCUUUUAUAACUAACAUGAUCUUUAAGGGACAUUAAUAGAUAGAUAUGCCAUACCAUGACAAAAGCAUUGGACGCAGCUGUUAGAUUUAUCCCGACACCACCAGCUUUUAGAGACAUCAGCAUUACCUAUCCAACAAUUAAAGAAGAGUGUUGACUACAAUUUAGAAACUCGAAAGUUUUGAACAUUUCAAUGUAAUGGGAUGUACACCAACCAUGAUACUGGCAUCUUCAGAAAAUUCUUUAAGGACUUUCUCUCGUUGCUGCUGACUUAGAGUGCCAUCAAGACGGACAAAUGAGAUGUUGUUCCUGGAGAUGAAAGAAUUAAUUUAAAAUUUUGUUAUAAUUUAGGUUUUUGAAAACCAUUUUUUUUCUCACAAGGCAUGUAAAUAGUAUACCGAGAGAGAGGAAUUUGAAGAAGAUCGAGGAAAGCGGUCCAUUGGCUAAAGAGAAUGCUCUUGGAGCCUGAAGAACGAAGACUUUCAAGCUCUUCCAGAAGAGCAGUGAUUUUGGAUGAUUCUACCCAGUUCUUCUCCACGUCAACUUGGAAUCUACUUUCUGUUGGUGCUGUGAUGAGUUCUUGUUUGCUUACAGUUUUCCUGCAAAACAAAGAUUAACCAUCAUUGGCCUUUGACCUAACUGAAAUAUGGAAUCAGUAGCAAGGACAUCAAAUGAAAACUAGUAACAGCAGGAAGAACUUCCAGAUACCUACACACGGGACAUAACCCAGAAGCAGAAUUUCGCCAACUCGCCAAGAGACACUCACGACAUAAUCUAUGAGCACAUGGAGUUAAUACGGCAUCCUCAAACGCUUCAAGGCAUAUUGGACACUCUCCUUGUUCUCCUUUGCGUAGUUCCUCUACCACCUCCUGAACAAAAGCCACUGAUGGUAAAUCUUUUCCUUCCCUUUCUAGACAAGAAGACUUUCCACUAAGGAAACGUUUUGAGAGCUUAUUCAAAUCAGAGUAUUCCGCUGUAUCACCUCGGCUGGAUGCAUAAAAAAAAGACAGUUAUAAGAAAUAUGGCGAUUGCGUCAACAAAAUGUCAAACAAAACGAGGGCUACAGUUGCAUGAUUCUUAUAACAUAUUGUCAAUGAUAUUUUCUUGGAUAUUUUAGACAAGGUUGGGCAACAGAUAGAUUGAAUGCGAAAAGUUAUAAUUGAUAUGAAAGCAAUGGAAGUUACAACUUACAACCAGUUCCAGCCACUAUGAGUCUCUACUUAAAUAAAAGCAAGGGGUUACGAGACACACCUCAUCACUAAAAAUGGGUGAUCACAACACUGUCGAAGACGCAAAAGCAGUUCCAGGAUUGAAGCAUAAUUAUGAAGAACUUUGCCUUGUGCAACAAAUUGAUCAAAUUUGACCUGAAAAAAAUACGUCAGCAUCUUCAGUAUAGACAUCUUAAACUCCGAGUAAAAAAAUACUAUAAUCAUGAGGACAAACAAUACCUUGGAUCUUUUAAAUAGCGCAUCGUAGAAAUCCUUCUCAGACUCUGAGAGUUCACAGUAAAUGACCCGUGCAUCAGCAGGGGGUAGAACAAGAAUCGGCCUAAAAUAAACAAACAUGCUUUUAAACGAGGAAACAAAGGAAAAUAGUAUGUUUUAUAAGUAUCAGGAAGUUAUAUGACAGAUCUUUUAUUUGUAGUAUUCCUACCUUCCUUCUCGAUCUGUGCUAGACUUAGUUCUCCUAAGCAUGAUGGGUUUUAAGAUUGACUGCACUAGUUUUAGCCCUCUCUCAUCGCCCUCUUCAAAUGGCUUUUGGACAAGUUUAUUCCACCUAAGAAUAAAUAUGUUCCAAACUAACAAGCUUCAGUCAUUCCAUACCAAAUGUAAUGUGUUUCCAACCAAAGAUAGAUAAAGACCCUUACCAUGCCCAAGUUCCCCAUGGCUCAAUCCUCAAAAAUCGUAGGAGGCUGUACAAGUCCUCCAGAUUGUUCUGUUAAUAAGAUAACAUGUGAAAUGAUUACAAAGUCCCAAAUAUGAUAAACAAAUCUUUGUCCAUCAUCCAUUUGAAUGAGCCAAGAUUAUCAUGCCAGUAUACUGCAAGCCAUAUGAAAUUUAUCCUUAAAAGAAAAGUUUUGAGGUAAAACUGAGACUUGUGUACAAAAAACAUGCUUAAGAAGAUGAUAACCUUCUAGUAGAGAUUUAGACCAUUCAAAUCUCAGGUAUAUAUUAGAUGUCCAACUACUAAAAUGAUUUCACAGAUAGAAUGGCAGAGUCCAACGAAAGUUUAGCCUAUAGGACGGUCAGAAACAAAGAUUUAUAUAUAAACCCUCGACAAAAAGGUUAAUCACCUGAAUAGGCGUACCCGUAAGGCACCAACGCCGAUCUGCAACCAGAGCUGCAGCAGCCAAAGAAAUUUGGCUUUUUGAGUUUUUGAUGGUAUGUGCCUCAUCAAGAACAAUCCUAAACCAUCGAACAGCAUAAAGUCCUCCACUGUCUGCUGAGUUCUAAGGAGAAGGAAAAAAAACAGAGAAGAUAGGAGUUCAUGUGAUAGAUUUUUAAACUAUAUACAUGGAAUAAUAAUGACCCGAAAUAAGACUACGAAAGCUACCUCUGCUGAAAAUUCAGAUGUUAGAACUCCAUAUGUAGUGAUUACCACAUCACUCUGGGAAAGAAGUUUCGUAUCCUUUGGCCUGCUUUGCCCAUAAUGAACAUAGACAGAUAAAGAUCCAGGCUUUGCAUGCAUUUCAAUUUCUGACUGAAACAAGUGCAAAAAAAUAAAUAAUCAGUUGAAACAAGUAAAAACAAAGAAUAAAUAACAACUUUCGUAUAACCAAGCUAAGUAUGCACGUGCAUCAAGCAUGGUAAUAAGUUAUCAGCAUCAGAUGUAAAUAAUACCUUCCACUGUCCUAAAAGUGUCAUCGGACAUACAAUCAGGUUACCACCAUUUUCAAGACUUUUCUGGUCAAGAAGCUUCUUAUCAAAGCCUGGAAAUUUGGUUGCCUUCAACGGGAGACUAGCGAACUCAUCUAAAGAACUGCUGAUCACUUUGUCUCCUUCAUAGUUGGGGCAUAGAAACCCAGUUGAUGCAGUUUUCCAAGAAUGGGAAAGCAUAAGCGAUAUGGUCAUUACGGUUUUUCCGAGACCCAUUGCGUCUGCUAAAAUCUGCAAAGGUAGAAUGAAUAUCAUAAACAUAUUACAAAACAACUAUAUAACAAAGUGACAAAAUGUAGAUGACAAGUAAAAAUAUUGUUUGUAGGUGGGUUAUUGAGAUCAUACCCCUCCUCUUGCCAUUUGAAGUGUGCUAGGAAAGUGUAUUGUAGCAUCACCAGUAAAAGAAUUAAGGUAGACAACAAGUUCCCUCCUAUUGACAUAAAACAUAUAGUAAAUAUUUCAUCUGACUAGCACAAAAGUGGCAGGUAAUAGAAACAUAGCUUACUUGUCUGCUAAACAGUAUGCUUCCCAACAUGGGUGAAGCAUUGUUGCUGCCUCAUCAGUGCAAUUUCCUUUCUCCAAUUGGGUCAUCCAAUGAAGUGCCUGCUUUUGAUAUGGACGAAGCUCACACAAAAGUUGAUGUGGAGUUUCCAGUUCCUGUUGCAAUUUUUUUUCACGUAAUUUGCCAAAAGAAUUUCUAAUGCCAAAUAUAAGCAAGCAAAAAGUUCAAGAAAUGAGGAUACCUUUAAUCCAGAACUGUCCCCAACACCAACAAUGUUAUCAAGAUCACCAUCACUGAUACACUGUUCAUUUUCAUCGCCGUUUGCAUUUUGACUCUGAGUCUUGACCUUGUUUAACUCAAGCAACGAAGUUGUAAGAGCAGAACCAUCCUAUUUCCCAAGGAACAGACAGCAGAUGAAAAACUAGAAAAGCAAGAUGUCGAAGGUUAAAAUGCUUAUAUAAAUGCAAAUUUUACCUUGGAACUCAAAGGUCGCUUCCUAGUGGACAAGUCCUCAGGAGUAAACUCUGCCUAGACAUGAAGAAGAACAAUGAAACAUUGUCACAGAUAACUGGCCAACUAAAUUAAAAUCAAAGAAUGGAAAUAUUCUUGUGCCAUCUCAAGAACUCGCAGUCACAUCAUAUGGGAACUUUAAACGACAAUCUUUAAAACAGUUAGCAAUUCAAAGGAUUAUAGGCAAGGGCAAACCAGUACCUUCUUAAAGGGGAUCAAACCAAGUAAACGAAAGAGAUUUGGGAGAGGAUGGAACACUGAAUCCUCUGCCGUAGUACUGGCUGUCUUAAAUGAUGUUGCACUAUGCUUUUGGAACAUGGAACUAUUAAUAUACACGCUGUUUCAAAAACAAACACACCACUUCAAAAACCAAUGCAUCUACCCUAGCAUAGUCAAUUGGAACGCAAUAUCUUGUAUGCAUACCUUACAGAAAGAAGAAUAGUGUCCAUGAUACUCAAUGUUUCAGGCGCCAACUUGCAGCUCCCUUCUAUCCGAAUUUUCUUGUCUCUCACAAGUGGUAGAAGACACCGUGCCCACUCAUUUGGUAUUCUACCAAUCUAUGACAAUAAAUCCCAUUUAACAGUUUUCCAUCCCAUAAACAUGAAAACAUAACAGAUUAAGAGCGAACCCGCAACCAAAUAAAACAAGAAAUCAAAAUGCACCUCUCCUGAAUCCUUUGUAGAGAACCUGACGAUAUCAGAAGCACCACGCAAAGCUGGCCUUCCCCGUCCAAAUCCGCGCUUCCCAGGCGUAGUCUCAGACUUUGAUCCUUUACUAUGCGGAAACGUGAACACCAAUUCGUCACCGGACUUCAAUUUCCUUCCUUUACAUGUCGACAACCCCGCCAAUUCAGAACAGCCCACAAACCACCACUCAUUCCCUAGAACACUCUCUUCUCCACCAUUAACACACUCAUCUUCUUCCUCCGCACGAUGAUUCUCUCCAACACUUGCAAAAGUACAGCCAUGUAUUCCAUUAUCUACUUUCUUCCCUCCAUUAGAGCCACUUGGGAUAGGAGUGGCUACAACAUCAGGUGGUUUGCUGAAAGUUGGAGUGUCAAAGAUUAUAUUGAUGGCUGCCGUUGGGUCAUGAUUCGCCAUAUGCAAAGCCCGUCUUAUGUCCAUGUCAGAGUAAUCGGAACCCACAACUGCUCUGACUGUAGAAACCAAAUCUUCUGAAACUUUCGUUCCCAUAUCAAAACCCUAACCCUAAAAUAUCAGGGGGAAAGUUUGAAAAUUUCUUGAAAUUUCAGACAGAUUGUGGCUAAAGAACGCCGAAACAAGCUAACCCAAUUUAGAAAUUGAAGCAGAUCGACGGCGGCGUACGAAAUCUGCCGGACCCGAGAAACGCGCGUAAAUUAGCGACGAUAGUAUCCAAACUCCCGCCAUUAUAAUAUUUUUAUUUUUAAGUGACAAAAAUGAAAAGUAAAUACUGAAACGGCGACGUUAAAGUAUCCAGCGGGUCUAGAUCCGGGUAACCCGAUUCCCGAGUUGAACUCAGUUAAACAAUAGACCACAAAAUCUGCCAUUAGUGAGAACUGUAGUGACACGAUUGUUAAAGCUCAUCUUUUUUUCUUUCUCUCUCUUUUUUGGUUUACAUGAGCUCUGUAAGUGCUUCAUUAAUGGCGGUUAUCAAAAUCUAGUAAGGUUUAGCAUAAAUUCUAUCCAUUUCGAAGUUCAAAAGUGAAAGAUUUCAGAUUUAUCGGUGGGGAGUGUUUUUUAUUGUUGGAUCAUGGUUCUGAUUUCUUUUUGCUUCAGCUUCAAUUUAUAGGAGUUUCGUGGAUCUUAGAUUUUGAUGUGGCUAUGCCUUAUAUGGUUCGAUUUAUGGAAAAGGAGUGAUUUUUGGAAUCAUAGGAGAAAUGGAUUAACGAUAUUUGAAUCUGGGGACUGAUUUGGAUCUGGUUUAGGUGGAAUUGAUGGAAGGAAAGGUGGCUAGACCUAGAGGUAGACCGAGGAAACGCCAGAGACCUGAUGAUCAAAAUGGAGUGUCUAAUCGAGGGAAGAGGCCGGUUUUGGAGAUGAAAGUGACAGUACCUAGAUCUCUUCUUGGUCGUUAUGUGUUGAAGGAUUUUGAUGACAGUAGAGUUUCUCUUGGGAAGAUAAUUUCGUAUAAUAGUGGGUUGUAUAGAGUUGAUUAUGAGGAUGGUGAGUUUGAGGAUCUGGAAACUUGUUAUCUUCGUCAGUUAAUUAUUGGGGAUAGUUACUUUGAUGAUGAAUUACGUGUUAGAAGAAGUAAAUUAGACGAAUUUAUACUGAAAAAGGACGAAAGGAAGAAAACAGAUUACAUCAAGAACAAAGGAGUUGAGCUGCAAAAUCGAGUGAAUGAAGUUGAGGUGCCCACAUCUACUAGCCCAAGUUCUGUGGCAGAAGUUGAAAGUGGUUGUUCGUCUUCUUGUUUACCUGACUGUGAAGAUAACAGAGAUCCAUAUAUAGAAACUAUGUCGCCUCUUGUCCCAGUUCCACCAGUGGAUUUACCUUCUUCAUCAGGAACAAUUUGUAUCCCUGAGGAGGCUGUGGUGCAUCUUUUAUCUGUAUACGGUUUCUUAAGAUCAUUCAGUGUUCAGUUAUAUAUCCUCCCAUUUGGAUUGGAUGAUUUUGUGGGAGCAUUGAAUUUCGGAGGACCAAAUUCUUUGCUGGAUGCCAUUCAUGUUGCCUUGAUGCGGGCACUGAAGGGUCAUCUUGAAAGACUCUCCUUAGAAGGGUCUGAAGUGGCUUCGAAAUUCCUGAGGUAAGCGCAGACAACUUUUGCUGUUUACAGUUUUCAACAGAUGUCUUUGUUAAUGUAUUGUCUUGAUUUUGUAACUUUAUGUGUUGCUUUCCGGAGAUGUUUUAAGUUUACUUUCCCAUAUCCUUAGUUUUUUUUCAGUGCAUUAAUCAUUUCGUGAAACAGCAGAAGUUUGUUGGGUAUAUGAACUCUAAGGAAGCAGAAUUGCUGACAUCAAAUUUAAAGCUCAUGAAUUCUGUUCUUUUUCUUUGUUUGUUUUAAAUGUACAUUUUUUAUUAGCUGGGAGAGAAUGGCAUAUGGCUGUAGAGAAACUGUAAUAGAAUUAUCUUAUUCAUAGUUUAGGUGAAGUUGGUUUAGGAUCUCCAAUAUCUUAGUGGAUAACAAUUCGGGGAUUUUGUUGCAUUACCAUCUGCAGGUGCAUUGAUUGGAGCUUGCUCGAUGCGCUAACUUGGCCUGUUUAUUUGGUUCAGUACUUUUCUGCCAUGGGACAUGCAAGUGGGCCUCUCUGGAGAGUUUUUAAUGAAUACGUUGUGGAGAAAGAGUAUUAUUCCUCACCUGUAGUGAUGAAGUUGAAGAUCCUGCAAAUUCUGUGUGAUGAUGUCUUUGAUGUAGCAGAUGUAAGAGCUGAAAUUGAUACUCGAGAAGAAUCUGAAGUUGGAGUUGAUCCUGAUGGCGUUACUGCUGACCUUCCUGAAACUGGACCUAGAAGGGUCCACCCCAGAUUUGCUAAAACCUCAGCUUGCAAGGAGAAAGAGCUUAGUGAAUUUGUUGCAGUUAAUCAUGGGAUAACUUCAAUGAAUGAGUCAAAAAAUUUGAGUUCAAGAUAUACUGAUGGUGGUCAUGGAGAUAGCUCAGAUCUGGAUGGGAACAGUGAUGAAUGUAGGCUCUGCGGCAUGGAUGGGACGUUGCUGUGCUGUGAUGGAUGCCCUUUAGCAUAUCACUCGAGAUGCAUUGGUGUGAUCAAAAUGUAUAUACCAGAUGGGCCGUGGUAUUGUCCAGAAUGCACAAUCAAUAAAAUAGGGCCAACUAUUGCUCAUAAAACGUCACUCAGGGGAGCAGUGUAUUUUGGAGUGGAUCCACAUGGGCGACUCUUCUUGGGUACAUGCAAUCACUUACUGGUGUAUGUUUUCGACCCCUUAUUUCAGAUACUGUCUUUCAAGCUGAUCUUCAAUUCUGUAUUUUUCCAUAUUCAUUUAGAUUCUCGACAAAUUGGUUUUUGCAGUCUAUACUUAUCAUCUUGUCUAGAUUUUUCUUAAUGUUGGAAAACCAUAUUGCUUGAAUUGUUUCUUAGUAGACGCUGAUGAAUAUUUCGCUUAUAUUACAGGCUUAAAAUUUCUGUCCAUGCGGAUGCAGAUAUUAAAUACUACGAUGCCACCGACAUUCCAAAAGUUGCCCUGGUGCUUUUGUCUGCAACGAACCAUAGAAUGGAAUAUCUGUAUAUAUGCAAAGCGAUCUCGCAAUACUGGGAUCUGCCUGGAGGUUUGAUCUCUUAUCUGAGAGCAGUGGAGAUUGAUUUAGCACACAUGCAAAAAGAAGGGUGCGACGAGGUGUCAGCCGUAUUUAGACCUGAUAGUGCAAGUAGUUCCAGUGGAAAUAAAAUUCAAAUUGCGUUUGGCCUCCACGCAUCUGCUUCAGGCUGUACUGGCAGUCCCGUAUUAGGAGGACCAAGUGGAGUGCAAGAGAAGAAUCUAGUUGCUGGCAUUACACUCAAGGGUUCUUCAUUUAAACCUCAUACUUACAUUAAUCAUUACACUAAUGGAGAAUUGGCUGCAUCAGCUGCUGCUACUUUUGCUGUCCUAUUGUCAGAGGAAACCCAUGAACCUGAUCUUCAAAAAUUUAGUAACGCCAAGAAAGCUGCAGCGAGUAACAUCUUGCUACAGGUGAAAGCAUUUUCGUUAGUAGCCUUGCGUUUCUUCUGGCCAAGUCCUGAUAAGAAGGAAAUCACAAGGGAAAGGUGUGGAUGGUGUCAUUCUUGCAAACUCACUUCGGCAAGUAGGAGAGGAUGCAUGUUAAAUGCAGCUGUAACAGGGGCCACCAAAAGUGCCAUGAAAGUCUACAGUGACCUUUUUCCACUUAAAAAUGGGGAUGGAGUACUUUCUAGUAUUGCAGCAUAUCUCCUAUAUCUGGAGGAAAGCUUACGUGGUCUCAUUGCGGGGCCAUUUCUUAGUGAGAGUUUUAGGUAUCAGUGGCGUAAGAAGUUAGAGGAAGCUUCAACAUGCAAAGCGAUUAAAGCCCUCCUGCUUGAAGUAAGUAUCUUUUUUUCUUUCCAAAAUUUUUUGUUCGUAUUCUCUUUCUUUUCCUAUAAACAAAUAAUUGUAUUUUUUCUUGUCAUUUGCACUUUUCGGAUUUGAUGUAUCACUUGUCAACCAAAAAGUGAUAUGUUAACAGUCCUUGGUUUGUCAUUAUAUAUGGGGUGUUUUCAUUGGCAUGAUAGGGUUCAUUUUGCUUGUUCGCAGCUUGAGGAAAACAUUUGUAGUAUUGCUCUGUCAAGUGACUGGCUUAAAUUAGUGGAUGAGUGGUUAAUAGAACAUUCUAUAUUUCAAAGCGCUCCAGUUACUGUUGCGGGCACACAGAAACAUAGACCUGGUAAGAGGAGGCAGAGGAACCAGGCCGAAAUUACAGCCCAAGGUUCUGAUGAUGAUAGCUUUACUUGGUGGCGAGGGGGGAAGAUAUCAAAAGUUAUACUCCUGAAGGCUGUCUUGUUGAAGCCUAAGAGAAGGAAAGCAGCUUCGCAAGGUAACCUUGUAUGGCUAUGUUUUUGGUGCUUGUCAACAUUCUCACGUAAAUAUACAAUGUUUCUUAUAGUGUUUGGAUACUUCUAUCAGAGUUAUCCUGUUUAAUUUUACUUUUGGGAUGGUGCUAAAAUCCUUUUCCUUCUUGUUUUCCAUUAGGUGGUGUGAAAAAGUUUCCGGAGUUUAGUUAUAGUGAUGGUUCUUACAUUCCUAAAAGAAGCAGGCGGUCUAUGUGGAAAGCCGCAGUUGAAAGUAGCAAAAACAUAUCUCAGCUUGCUCUUCAGGUUUGUCUUCUAUCAUCAAUGCAUAUUCAAAUGAUUGUAUAUCUAUGAUUUUUUAAUUGAUGAUCCCCUAAAUUCAACUGAAUCUGGGCCAGGUUAGAUACCUAGAUCUGAAUAUAAGAUGGAGUGAACUUGUACGCCCAGAGCAAAACGUGCAAGAUGUUAAAGGUCCAGAGACAGAGGCCACUGUUUUUAGGAACGCUAGUAUUUGUGACAAGAAGAUUAUAGAUAACAAGGUUAGAUAUGGAGUUGUCUUUGGGAAUCAAAAGCAUCUGCCAUCCCGUGUCAUGAAGAAUAUCACUGAAGUCGAGAAAACUGAAGAUGGAAAGGAAAAAUAUUGGUUUCUUGAAGCACGCGUUCCCUUAUAUUUGAUCAAAGAAUAUGAAGAAAGUUUGCAUAGGGUACACAUACCUUUCAUCAAGAAACCGUCAAGAAAAAUAUCAAAGCUCCAGAAAAUGCAACUUAAAGCUUCUCGAGCGAACAUAUUUUCUUAUCUAGCCUCCCGGAGGGACAGCACGGAGAAGUGUUCUUGUGCAUCAUGUCAUCUCAAUGUUUUUGUGAGGUAUUUUCAUUUGCCUUCUUUCCUGUCAGGAUACUUAAUAAAAAUUCUUAUGUACCUCAUUAUUUUUGGUUCCCGUUCUCUAUGUCCACAGGGAUGCAACAACAUGCAGUACUUGCCAAGGUACACUACACCUGGUUGCUGUUUUAAUUUUGCAAUUUAGGUUGGAGACUUUUGCAAGUUAUUGGUAUUUGUAUGCAUUUGACAAGAGAUGUCAUUAUUUCCUAUGCCGUUUUCUUUGUUUUUAAUUGUUAAAGUUGCAGUAUCUGUUUCCUUAUCUCAAGAACAAGUAGAAAAAUUCCUGCAUACACAUAAAAAAAGAGUUUCUUUUGUUUCCUCAUCUGUAUUUCUUGAUGAACGAAUUCUAUUGCAAUUCUAUUUUUUGUUUGUUUCAUAUUUUUCGAGGAUGAUGUCCUCUGCUUAUAUUUGUUUAUUUUGCUUGGUACUGAAAUUCUCAUGGAUCUCAUAUUUGUUUUGUUUUUUCCAUUGGCUAAUUUUGCUGAAGGAUUUGUAGCGAUAUAAUCAUUGAUUUAUUUUUUUUCCCUCUCAGGUUACUGCCACAAGGAAUGUACUAUGAGUACACCACACACAAGUGGGAGAGUUGAACUUUUGGUAACCUGCAAACGGUGCUACCUUGCAAGAGCCCGUUCACUAAUCAAUAUCAAUCAUAGGCAUCCAACAACAGCUGCUGUCCUUGUCAACAGACCACAUCAAAAUGCAGUCACUCAAGUCACCAAGACACAGGGUAAGAGUCUUAAUCAACAUGCAGUCACUCCAGUCACCAAGACACAGAUUAAGCCUCUUAAUCAACAGUUAGCAUCUUCCGACAUACGCAACACCACGUCAGGAGUUAAACAAAUCACUCCUGAUUCCAAUUUGGCACCUAAAAGUAAACACAAAACAUUGUCUUGGGGAGUCAUAUGGAGGAAAAAGAGCUUGGAAGACACAGGUGUUAGCUUCAGACAUCAACAUGUUCUGUUGGCUGCACGCUCUGGUCAGCCGAAUCCGGAACCAGUUUGCUGGCUCUGCAAACUGCCGUAUAAUCCUGGUCUAACAUAUAUUCACUGUACAAGCUGUGACAGUAAGAAAAGUUUACUCUAAAAUUCUAUAUGGAAGUGUAAAUUUCGUCAAUGCCACCAGUUUCCUCUUACAAAUCUAAUCCUAGCAUCUGUAUGCAGAGUGGUACCAUAUCGAAGCGAUUAAGCUCGAGGAAUCGAAAAUUCCUGAAGUUGUUGGGUUCAAGUGUUGCAAAUGCCGUCGUAUAAGAUCACCAGAUUGCCCUUACAUGGAUCCCAUACUGAGGGAACAGAAGCAGAUGAAACAAGUAUUCUCCAGGAGGCAGAAACCUAAGAAAGGAAGUAUUGGAAUGGAUUCUGAUUCUGAAAGAAUGUCUGAACCAAAAGACUCCAUGCCCUCUACUCCCUCAUUCCCCUUUGAAGAUACGUUUGUUCCAGAGGAUGAUCCUCUCUUGAUGUCAGUUUCAAAAGUUGAACAAUCUACACCUAACAAUGUGGAUGUCGAAUGGAACGGGGAUGGUUCAGUGCCAGGACCCCAGAAGCUACAAGUUAGGAGACAAGUGAAACGUGAAGACACAGACGGGAAUAGUAGUUUUUCUUACACCGAGUUUUUAAUGCAACCCGAAUCAAUACCUAUUGUGAAACCAGAAAUGGAGGCAACAUUUCCUGUCAUGGAAUGGGAUGCAUCUGGCAACAACAACAUGGUUGAAGGCGAGCUAAUGUUUGACUACGAAGACAUGGAAUUCGAACCUCAAACAUAUUUCUCUCUUACCGAGUUACUCACAACAGAUGAUAGUGGCCAGUGCGAUGGGCAUGGAGAUUACAAGAAUGCUUUAGGAAACAUGGAUAACCCGAACCCUCAGGUUGAGACAACAGUGGAACAGUGUAGAGCAUUUCUCUCUGACAAUACAAUUCCAUGUCAGAUAUGUAUGCAUGUGGAUCCUGAACCUGAUCUCACAUGUCAGACUUGUACUAUGACUAUACAUUCCCACUGUUCUCCAUGGGAGGAGGAAUCUACCUGCACGGGAGGUAGCUGGAGAUGCGGUCGUUGCCGUGAGUGGCUGUAGCUGGCAGGUUUUCUCCUCCCAAAGUUAAGUUUCCAUACAAUUCUUUUAUGUUUGCAUUUUCUGGCUAUAGGCCAUUUGUGCUGCUUUUGGGGUUUUUAAUGAAGGGAAUACAAAGAGUACGUGUUGUCAAAAGAAGUAAAUUAAAUUUGUAUGAAAAUAAGUAAAAGCUCUCCUUGCAAGGCACAGGAGAUAAGCUCGUAUUUCUGUUGUUUCUGCAAAGGAGUCUCCGAGUUUCUUUGAUGCUCGUUUUGCUUGAGAAUGAUACCAAUACUAUAUAUACCAAGUCUUGAAUGAUAUUACUUGAGACCAUCGGUGUUCUGGUACUGACUUAAUGCCAAUAUUUAUUUGGAUACUAGAAUACUUGUAAUUUUGGAAAGAAAUGAUUCUAGAACAUAUCCAAUUUUAUACAACUCCUUAAAGUAGAUAAGGUUUUUAAUUGUUGAAAUGUUAUGCGUUUGGGAUGUGUUUUGGUAAUUUCCCUCCUCUAGUUACUGGAUUUACUAGAGAUUAAAACCUCUCAAUGACAUAAAAUAAGACCAAACAAGGCGAGAAACAGAGAUUCAUUCACUUAGAUAAAUCAUUGGAGAAACAGAUUGAAAAUAUAUAGGAACAAGAGCAAGAGCUGAUCAACCACUUGACCUCACAAUACAAAUGUGCAGAAUGAAUGCAAAAUUUCGUAGCUAACUCAACUCGCCCGCUUUGGAUAACAGGCACAAAUAUGAUCAAAACUAGAUUUUCUAUUCAACCCUCCCCCUCUCCCCAUCGGUCCUACAUUUACUCUCCUAUCAUUCCACAUUUUUUGCCACACAAUCUACAAUAACGAAAAAAAAAUAUUUUUCGAUAUCUGCAAGUAUUCUCUUACCCCAAUGAAGUUAAAGUAAGCCAGCAAGCAGAGCUCCUGGAUCAUCAGCUAAAGCGGCCGGGCUAGGCGGUUGAGCUACAGGUGGUGUGGGUGCUGGUCCUGGUCCUGCUGCUGGAACUAGAGCUCGAGAUCCCAUUGGUAUAGUGAUUAAUUGUUCCUUGAUGAAUUCUUUCAACCUGUGGAUAAAAGAGGUCAAUAAAUGAAGAGGAACAAAAACUGUGUUUGAAGCUGAAUUCCUGUUAAGAGGCAGAGAUAUCAUACUCAAAUGUUAGAGUAGGAUCUCCAGAGCCUACAGUCAGUCGCAGUUGGGUUCUGUCUGCUGGGUCUGUUUCAAUUCUUGCCUAAAAAUCACAAAACUUGAACAAUGUCACACAACAGACUCUUUGAGAGUGCAAUAACUGAGGACAAGUGCCAAAACCAGUAUGAGAAACUUGGGUAAAAUGCUCACCAAACAGAGCAUGGCUCCUGUACUUUCUGAGUAGAAGGUUGUACUUGCCACUAGAUUAUUAGGGUUUGGAUCCUGCAACAGAAAACAUUACAGUUAAUUUAAAGGGUGUGCAACAAGCAUGUGGGAGAUUGUAACCAAAUUACUUACAAGCCCAGGGCAUAUCGUCACAUGGAAACUGUUGAAUAGAUUUGCCAUUUCCGGAAGAGCAAGUGGUCUUACACCUCUAACCUGAAAGAAGUUGAAGUUUCAGAUUACUGUAUAUAACAGGUUACCGUAAUGCUGCAUUAACAAGCAUAUGUAGACAUGUUGGAAGUCCUGCAUGAGUGAUUUGGGCCACUUAAACGAUCAUUAGUGGAUAUUGCAGUUAUCUACAAGCGUUGUGAUUAAACUCAAAAUUCACUAAUUUCAUUUAAAAGAAAAUUCUCAGGAGAAUUUUACUUCUUUCCUGCACUACUCAAAUACUUUUCUUUGAUAUUUGGCCAGAGAAGAUGUGGAGAUACAUACAACUUCUUGAAGUUUCAAGGGUGGCCCUGAAAGUGCUCUCCAUUGCGGGAAGAAUUCUUCAGAUGUCAAUUGCAGAGGUUGAAGAAACUUAUUCAAGGUUGCUGGGAUUCUUAGUUUUGCACUAACCUAUAAAUAUCCAGCAUGUCAGAAAGAGUCGCACAUACUAUCAUACUAAAUAAACCAUUCACCAAAAAGGACAGUUGCAGUAAGUACCAGGUUUGUACCAAACUUGUAGGAGAAAUCCAAAACCGCAACAUCCCUACUAGGGCGGAUGUUCAUCACUUCAAGUGGGGAUUGUACCUAUAAUUAUGAAAGAAAUUACAACACUUAGUAAAGUACGCAGAAAUGAGUAGAAAUUGACAGACUGAGACAUGGAGUAGUAAAUUGGAAAAAAAUCAACAAACAAAUGUACCUGUGCUCGAGGAGGAAUCGUAUCAGGUACUGGAGACAGAUCUAGUCUUAAAUGGGCAGGGGGUAGUAUCAAAGCUUGGACUGAUGUAAGUGGAGAAGUAUUCUUGUUUCCCAUGAAGAGAACAAGUCUCCCAUGGUGUCCUCUCCAUUCAGCUUUGAUGCCAAUCUGAGGAAUAUAAACAAUCAACAUAAUGAGGAACAUAAGAAAGCUCAAAAAGUAGGAGCCUUGCCUGUCAGCAAUCUGCGUACUGAAUAGAUACAAGCAGCGAGAAAAGAAAUGAUAUAGGAAAAACAAACCUGGAUAUGAGGAUCCUCGUAUAAGACACCACUGUCUUUCAAACAUAGAGCAUGAAAUCUCUCGGCAAUAUUUCCGAUCAGCUGUUAGAGGAAAAAAGUGUAUAAGAAAACAAUUCUAGCAUGUCAACAGUACUAUGGAGUACAAUAAUGAUUUGGUUUCUUCUAUUGAUAUCAAUUGUAAAUGUAUACAAUGUCGAUUACGACAAAUCCACCAAGUUUAGCAGCUGUAAUAUUAUUAUGUGAAACAACUCCUGAGAAGAUUAGAACUGUGAAAUAGAACCUCUCAGGUAGAAUUCCAUCUAAUUGUAAUACCAUUUCCAAAUAAUUUACAAAAAGAGGAAACAGAAAUUAGAAGUAUAACUUCAUCCAUGCCAAAGAAACCAAAGAAGAAGAAAAGAAUACCUCCACUGAAUUUGCUUGCUCUUCAACGGGUACAAUGGCGGAACCAUCAACUUCAUCUGGAACACCUUCUGCCCGUGUGGGGCCAUGUUGUUCGGUAGAGACAGAUCCAGGUGGAGCCUCUAUCGCAAGAGGACCAAGCAGGUCACUUAGGAGAUCAGGUGAUGGAGUUUGUGGAUCUAUAUUACUAGUUCCAUAUGGCUGAGAGAGAGAUCGAGCCACUGAAUCAGGGUCCUGCUAGACAUGCAAGGAAAUACAGACUGUCAGAGAUAAUAAGAUAAAAUUAGGUGCUAUAUAAAGACAAAGCACAAGAACAAUGUCUCGUCAACUGGAGCCUACAAAGAGAAGUAAAUACUUACUGUGCUUCCACUUACAAUUGGCACCUUCAAAGGUGGGGGUGCCCCAUCAACAGGUUGUGGGUCAGCCAAAACCAAAGCAUUUGAAGGCUGUUGUUGUGUUCUAAGCUUGAUGGCACUCUGGUCUGCGGUAUCUUCAACGUCUUCUGCCUUUUUAAUCAAUGAAGACUAUGGAAGAGACACGGAAAAUAAUCCAGCAUCAGAUCUAUUAGCACAAACGUCCUUUCAAAGUAACAUUCAUAGAAUCAUAAAUAAUUUUGAAACCUGGCGCUCUGGGAAUUUUGGCAUUUCGGCUAAUACAUCCAUAAAUGCAGCCCCUUUUUUACUCAAUUCAAAAUAUUCAACUGCCCUCUGUUGUAUCUCCACAUCAAUACAACUCUCAUACCUGCCGAAAUAAAACUCUUUUAGGAAACUUGAUUUGAUUACCAAAAAAUAACAGAACAUAAAAUGAGACUGGUAAAGGACAACAAGGUUAGCUACACUCACUUUUUAAAUACAGCCCAAAUUUUUUUUUGCAGUUCUGGAUCCGGGGGUUGAGUGUGCAUAAGAAGCUUUGCAUAUGUGGAAAGAAGAAUAGGAAUCGUGGGAGUCCUGAGGAAAUAGUAGAAGAGGCAUUUUAAGACAUACCCAAAGACAAGAAGAACACAAUGAGGAGUUUGUAUUGUCCUUACGACACUGUGGGAAGCUUCUCAUGUAAGAUGCUAAAGAGUUCAGUAGCACUGCAUCCAGGUUGUCUAGCUAAAAGGUGACCAUACUCCCCCAAAAUAUAAGCACUGACCUGAAAUAUAGAAAAUGACCAAAAAGUUCGUAUUAAGCAUUGAUAUUUUCUACUUUUCAAUUCAGAACAGACAAUAGCAAGGUAGUAACUCUAGUUACCCAGUUAAAGUUAUAUUAUAACUAAUCCGAAUAUGCAAUAUAAAGAUUUUUUAAUGAGAAACGAGAAUGUACAACCUUCAACAUGGUCUCAUGUAUUGCGACUUUGUCCAGAUAUUCUCUUGCUUUUGAUGCGGCAUAAGGCUGUCAGAUCAAAGAAAAUUGUAAGCAACUUUCGAAUGUUUUAUUAGGAUAAACAAUAUAUUUCUCCUAACAAUUUUGAAACCUGAAGGUCUUCAUUAUUUGUUACAAACUGAACCACACGAAACCAAAUGUCAUCACUAACGAAAUCCCCAGCCUUGUCGAUCAACUGAAGGAUCACAUCAACAUACCUGAGAACAUCAAAAUUAGAAUCUUUGACCAACUGCUAGUGUAAGGGUCUAAAGGUCACUGUAACCAAAAUUGUCUGCAUGAAAAAAGUGUACAUAUACUUUUUGUGGAGUUCUCCUUACCAUGAUAGAUCAGGAGCAAACUUCUCAGCAAGAAUAGCAGCUUUAAGUGAUAAUUCCUCCCGCAUGGAAAACUCUGCUGUGCUAAGAUACUGUAAUGUAUAUUUGGGUUUCAUGUAAGCUUAAACACUACAUAAUCCUUCCUUUGUGAUAAACUUAUCAAGUCAUAAGGACACUAUAAAUAAAAUAUCAAUUUGAAGCAAGGUCAAACACUUACUUGCAACAACUCUUCGACUAUAUCCUUUGCAUUUGACACAUCGCACAUUCCAUAGAGCAAAUCAAGAGCACGCCUACGAAUACUGCAGAAAUUUCAACCAAUAAUGAGUCUGAUAGAAAUAGCAAAAGAACCAAGAGAAUAUAAAUUAAACUAUUGGAUCUUAAAACAGAAUACACCAUUUGCAACUGAAAUAGGAUUAAGACCAAAUGGACUGUCGUACUCGAUCUUAUUAUUAAAAAAGUUCAUCUUAUUAUUAAAAAGGUCAAAGAAACAGUACUUACCUAUUGGAUUCCAUUGCCUAAGAGUUUCAUAUACAACUCAUGUCACUAAUUUUAAUUCUGGCUGAAUUGAUCUUAAAUCCACAUCUACUCUUUUUUUUCCCCUCAAAUCCACAUUAUAUGGUAUACUGAAUCAAUGACCGAUUUCAUGAUUAAAAAAAAUUGUCCUACUGGUUCCAAGUUUGAGCAGUAAAAGAGAUACUGAUCCGGGUACACAAGCCAUAAAAGCUGAUGCUGAGAUGGCAAAUCUAAACAAACCUGAUAUCAGGGUCUUUCAAGGAAGUAAUUAUCUGAGACUGAUGCUUCUUUAUGAUAUCUUGAACAUCUGUGACCAUCAGCAUUCGUGUCAUAUUUUCCUGCAAUGUUUUCAAUACAUGCAUCAUGAGAAGCCCCAUAGUGCACCACCAAACACUUUACAAAUUACUGUUCUAGCUAGGCUUAGAUACAGGAAGUGGGUAUCUGAGAUCUUACCAAGCCUAGAUAUCUGAUGUUGGGUUCCCGGACAGAAAUAAACUUGCCAAGAAGAGCAACACACUGUGACAUCAUUUCCUUCUCCGCAUCAAGAUGCAUGACCUAUAUUGGAACACAUUAAUAAGUUAGGAGGUUGCAUACUGUAAUUCAGCAAAAGCAAGUCAACUAUCCAUGAUAUAACUCUCAAAAAUAGCGUCGAAACCUUCAAGCAGAGAAAGUCAUAUAACUUACUUUUAAACAAGAAAAAAAAAUACAGACACAUGUAGGUUUCACCAGCAAGGCAAAAAAAAAACCAUUAAAAAAGAUCCAUGCACAAGUCAGUAUUCUGUUUUGAGUAAAUGUAAUUUAACCGGAAGUUGAGGAGGUGUGUGUGAAGGGGAAGGGGAAGGGGAAUGGGAGAGAGACAAGUGCACUAGUAAAAUUCAUGGUAUCAACUUUUUUCCCCAGCUGCCUUAAGAACUUACCAGGGCUAGAGCUUCAAACAGCACAGCAUGAGACGCAUUGUUCUUAUUCACAUUUUUCACAACAUCUGUCCCCAUCAAUAUUCGCUGAAGGACCUGAAAUUUCCAUGAAAUGCCAUGAGAGAGAAUUCAAAGAUAUAUAUAAGAGUUUUACACAAGAAAAAACUGAACCUCAAAGAGAGCUUUUCUGAUACUGGGAUCUUCAAUGGUUGGAAAAUAUUGAAGAGCCCUCAUUGCCUUAACCUGUACUAACCAAAGAUAUAUAUAUAAGUAUCCAAGACACCUUUAACUGAGCAACAAAAUACACCAAAGCUGGGUCAAGCCUCUACGUCUAUAAGCUAAUUCUAUAUAAAAGGUUUAUAAUGCAUGGGAUUGGAAAAAGGAUGUGACUAAAAAAAAUUUAAGCUAUGUUAAACAAGACUAAAUAAGCCAGUUAAGACAAACCUGCAGCCAAGGAGAUGGAAUGCCAUAGUACGUGUACUCCUGAGGAACGUCCUGGUUCCUAGCAAGACGUUCCAGUAUUUUGACACAUUUAGGUAGACAACUUGAGUACGCCUCAUGAUUAUUAGAUACCAGAGCCACAAGAAGACUUGUAGAAGAUGUCAACACACCAAGAUCUCGUUCAUCCAAAAGUUGUGCCAUACGAUCCGCCCUGAAAGUAUAUGGCAAUGAGAAUAUAUAUAAAAGAUGUAGGAGAAAAAUCAAACAACCAGUAACCCCAGAGUAUUAAACAUACCAGCCAUCCACGUUGACAGCAUCAGGAUUUUUACGGAAUAAGCGCAGUAGGCAUAGUGCUGCUUUUUUCCUUACGAGAGGUCUACAACUACUAGAAAUCUGCAGCAAACAAGCUCCAUAAUAUUAAUAUGAUUACUUCUAUUGAAGAAAACCCAUAACCUGUCAUCUUUAGGAGUUACUUACAAGUAGCUUUUGAACAUCAGGUGCCAAUGAUUCAGAAAAAUCUCUUCCACCAAUAUUUCCAACCUACAGGACGAAGUAAGCAUUGCAGGGUAAGAGAGCAUAAAAGGAAGCACCAGUUUAUUGAAGUAAAUGACUUUGAAUCGUGAAAUGGUAGAGCACAAAAGAUAUAAUGUAUCCAACGACUUCGAAUAAAACAGUCAUUUAACUGCAUCUCAUCAUUAGAAAGACCUCAGUAUGCUCUCAGAUUUAAUCUCAGAAUAGAAAAACGAUCACAUACCAAGGUCAAUGCUAGGCACUGGAAAGUCUCAUUCCGACCAAUAAUAUCGUUCCGCACUGUAUUUAUUGCCAACCUCAAAAAGUCAUGGUUCUCAUUGAGCAAGCAAGAUGUAACAAUGUAGCCAACCUGUAAUCAUUGAUGGAAAUUUUAAUACCAGCAACUUAGGUAGGGAGCAUAAAAGAAUAAAUUAAAAUUCAAACCCUUGGGAUACAAUGCAUGGUUAAGAGUACCUAAGAUAUUACUAAGUAACUCAUGCGUAUAAGCAAAUGACUCCAAUACUUAACCAGGUCCAGUCAAACUGCAUAAGUUCUAAGCACGAGAAAUAGUAUCUAGAUCUAGCUUUCCACUAUAUCUAGCUUUGACAACUAGACUUGAAUCAAACAAAUUCCCCCACCUAUACUCUUCUCCUAGCCUUCGAAGCAAUUUCAUUUCUUGAGCAAACAAAACGAUGGUUUACCUGCUUUUCUGGAUACUUUGGUGCAGAUAUAAGAGAAACUGCCUCCAUAUGGCCAAAAUCCACAUCAUAGCCUAGCAUAUGUAUAUAAAGCAUUUUCCAGACAUAUUUCUUCUUUUUAUAUGGUGUCAAAACCUGUAAAAUGAAAAAUAAAAAUGGAGAAAGAUAUCAAAGAGUGCAUGAUUAACUAUUUUAUUCAUUUCUACAAUGAAACUCAAAAAUAAACCUGGUAUUGGUACAACUGGCCACACAUGGACACUACAGGCCGGCUACAGAUCUUCUACUUAGGGUAUGGAACCAACAUUUUACCCAAAACGUCUUACAUCAACACAGCUUACUGAACUACAGAAUUCGCUAUUCCAAUCUUUCAGUAACCUUGAUUUCUUUCCUUAGACCAUUACUACAUAACCCAAUUUACUGCCUGGCUAUCAUUUCCUUCUAGUUCCAAAAUAUGCUCAGAUAUUCAAUGUUCUUAUACAAUUUCACUGAUCACUCGGAAGAAGAAUUAACAAGUAGUAGUUUAUUGUCUCCCAUCUAUCAACUUGAAAUACACAAAUGACAUUCCAAGUAGAAAGCAGUAGUAGUGAUGUUUCAAAAGGUAGAAUAAUGGCUAAUCACCAAGGAUUAUACAACAGAAACAUUAUACUGCCAUUCCAGGUACAUAAUUUGUGUUAAGUAAAAACUUUACACUGAGCAACUCUGGUUUUCCCGAUUAGAAAAAUUCGGGGAAUCUUGAUUCAACUACAUUCUUUUCUAACUUCCUCAUCAACCUAAUAGCUCUAACUGAUUCUAAGUGAAACAAUAGAAUAAGGUAGCUGCAAAGGAGAAAUCUCUAAUAUCAAUAUAGAACCUCAGCGGCUACUUGGACACUGACUUAUCUCUCCCAGUUGAGAAUAAGAGAUAGAAAACAAAAAAGGGAGGUAAUUGACACAAACCUUCUCAUUCUUGAAGCAUGUGCGUAUGUUUCCGAGCUCUUUAUCAACUCGGAGUCUCUCCGCUUCCUUGUUCUGGCAAUUACGAAUGUCACUAAUAAAUACGGAGAGACCUCUCAUUCCGCUCAUGGUGGAGCCGAAUCCUUCAAAUCCGCCGCCGCUUCACACGGCGCAGAUCCAAACUCGCGAUACCAGAUCUAACUACGACGUGAACCCGUAGACUACAGAUGAAACAUAAGCAAUUCGCGAAAGCUGAGAUCGAAACCCUAAUCUAGAAACGGGAAAUGGCACCUCCAAUUGGAAGAAAAUUCAAAAGCUAAGUGAUCUGAAGACGACGACGAUCUCAGAAACGGGGAGGAGUGAGACGACUUUUACUUUUCUUUAUUUACAACUAUGACAAUCCAAUUUUGUUUAAUUUUGUUUUAGACAAUUUUUGGUAAACCUAUGGAUUUCGAAAAUCCGAAAUUUAUGCGUCUAGGCAUUGGGACUGAAUUUGAGAAUUUAUAAGUUUGUGUACUAUUUUGUCAAAAAAUCGUCUUCUGCUACUUAUUUGGGUAAUAUUUUUUUUGUUUAUUUAUUUAAAAUUACCGUUUUCGGUCACGGUAAAUGCAGAUGGUAUAUUUUAGUGCACCCUGGGAUAAUCGGGUUGUGAAUUCGGGUCAUGCCGUUGGUGUUUUAUUCAAAUUUGACGCAAGCUCACAAACAUCCCGAAUCAAUGCCUGUUGUGAUUUGUGAAACCAGAAAUCGAGGCAACAUUGCAUGUCAUGGAGACAUGAUAUGGGAUGUAUAUGGAAUGAUAUGGCAAUGACAACAACAAAAUAGUUAAAGGCUAGAUAAAGUUUUGAGUCUUGACUAGGACAACAUGUAAUUCGAACCCCAAAUAUAUUUCUCGCUGACCGGGCUACUCAAAGGAGAUGAUAGUGACAAGUGCAAUGGAUAUAGAGAUUACAUGGAUGCUUCAAGAAACAAGGAUAACCGAAACACUCAAGGUGAGACAAUGGGACAGAGCACACCCUUCUCUUAAUGACAAUACAAUUCUGUGUCGGAUAUGUAUGCUUGGGAUUGAGACGAUAUUGUACACUUCUUUAUGAAGUUUGGAACAUCUUUGUAAAACCUAGUAGUCAUAUGAUUUGAUGAUUAUAAGUAUGAUAUGACUAGAUUAGAAUCUCUAGUGCAAAAAAUAGACCUUCUCUCACAUAAAUAAUGAAGAAACUGACUGAGAAUAUUUAGGAACAGGAAAAAAGCUUAUACAACCACUGAUCUCACAAUACAAAUGUGCAGAAUGAACGCAAAAUUUUGUAGCUAACUCAACUCACCCGCUUCGGAUAACAGGCACAAAUAUGAUCAAAAACUAGCUUUCUAUUAAACCCUCCCCCUCCUCCCUCUUUCUCCCUUUUCUCUACAUUUACUCUCCCAUCAUUCCAUAUUUUCAACAUUACAUUCUACAAUAACGGAAAAAAAAAACUUUCGACAUGUGCAAGUAAUAUCUUACCCCGAUCAAUUUAAAGUAAGCCAGCAAGUAGAGCUCCAGGAUCAUCAGCUAAAUUCGCUGGGCUAGGCGGUUGAGCUACAGAUGGUGCUGGUCCUUGUCCUGCUGCUGGAACAAUAGCUCGAGAUCCCAUUGGAAUUGUAAUAAGCUGUUCCUUGAUAAAUUCUUUCAAUCUGUACAUAAAAGAGGUCGGUCAACAACUGCAGAUGAAAACAAGUUGUGUCUGAAGUUGAAGAGGCAGAAAUGUCAUACUCAAAUGUAAGGGAAGGAUCCCCAGAGCCUACUGUCAUCCUCAAUUGGGUUCUGUCCGCUGGGUCUGUUUCUAUUCUUGCCUGAAAAUUACAAAACACGAACAAUGUCACACAACAGACUUUUGAGAGCGUAGUAUUAUGUGUAUGUAUAAGAAAUUUAGAACAAGUGCCAAAACCAGUAGGAGAAACUUAGUUCUCACCAAACAGAGCAUGGCUCCUGUACUUUCUGAGUAGAAGGUUGUGCUUGCCACUAGAUUAUUAGGGUUUGGAUCCUACAACAGAAAACAAUACAAGUUAAUUUAAAGGUGUGCAACAAGCAUGUGGGAUGAAAAAAACUGAGAUCGUAAACAAAUUACUUACAAGCCCAGGGCAUAUCGUCACAUGGAAACUGUUGAAAAGGUUUGCCAUUUCCGGAAGAGCAAGAGGUCUUACACCUCUAACCUGCAAGACAUUGCAGAUUCGGAUUAUGAUACAUGUUUAAGUAAUACUGCAUUAACAAGCAUAUGUAGAAGUGUUGAAAGUCAUCUAUCAACAUUUUGAGUGACAACAUUUUGAACGAAUCAUCAAUGGAUAUCGGAUGCUAUCUAUAAGUGCUGUGAUUUAGCAAGAACGAUCAUUAGUCUGUUACAAGGAUUUUACAGAGAAAGAGAAUUCACUAAUUUCUUGGAAAAAAAAUAUUAGGAUCAUUUUUACUUCUCUCAUGCACUAUUUGAUAUUUGGUCAGAUAAGCUGAGGAGAUACAUACAACUUCCUGAAGUUUCAAGGGUGGCCCUGAAAGUGCUCUCCACUGUGGGAAGAACUCUUCAGAUGUCAAUUGUAGAGGUUGAAGAAACUUAUUCAAGGUUGCUGGGAUGCGUAAUUUGGCACUGACCUAUAAAUAUUCAGCAUAUCAAAAAGAGGCAUAGAAACUAUUAUACCAAAACCAUUCACCAAAAAAGAAGGUAGCAGUAAGUACCACGUUUGUACCAAACUUGUAGGAGAAAUCCAAAACCGCAACAUCUCUACUAGCGCGGAUGUUCAUCACUUCAAGUGGAGAUUGUACCUAUAACCAUGAAAUAAAUUGCAACACUUAGUAUACACAGAAAUGAGUGGAAAUUGACGGAUUGAGUAAUAAAUUGAAAAAGAAAAAAACAACAAACAAAAGUACCUGUGCUCGAGGAGGAAUUGUAUCAGGUACUGGAGACAGAUCUAAUUUUAAAUGGGCAGGGGGUAGUAUCAGAGCUUGGACUGAUGUAAGUGGAGAAGUAUUCUUGUUUCCCAUGAAGAGAACAAGUCUCCCAUGGUGUCCUCUCCAUUCAGCUUUGAUGCCAAUCUGAGGAUACCAACAAUUACAUAACGUGGAACAUAAUAAAGCUAAAAAAAAAAUAGGAGCCUUUCCUGUCUGCAAUCUGCGUACUAGAAUAGAUAAAAGCAGCGAGAAAAUAACUGAGAUUAGAAAAAUAAACCUGGAUAUGAGGAUCCUCAUAUAAGACACCACUGUCUUUCAAACAUAAAGCAUGAAAUCUCUCGGCAAUAUUUCCGAUCAGCUGUUAAAGAAAACAAAAGUGUAUAAGAAAACAAUUCUAGCAUGUCAAUAGUACUAUGAUGUACAAAAAUGGUUUGGUUUCAUUUACUGAUAUCAACUGUAAAUCUAUACAAUGUUAAUUACGACAAGUCCAUCAAGUUUAGCACCUGUAACAUUAUUAUGUGAAAAUAAAAAUCUAGAAACUCCUCAGAGAGUAUUAUGUGAGAAGAACUUCUCAGGUAAAUUCCAUCUAAGUAAACAUUAUAACAUUUCCAAGUAAUAAAUACAAAUGAGGUAACAGAACGGAAAAAUGACCGAUAAUUUAAAAACAUAGGGAAAUAAUUAUCUUGAAGAAAGUAGAAGUAUAAUUCUAUCCAUGCUAAGAUAUACUAUGCUAAAGAAAGCAAAGGAAGAAGAAAUACCUCCACUGAAUUUGGUUGCUCUUCCACAGGUACAAUGGCGGAACCAUCAACUUCUUCUAGAACUCCUUCUCCCCCUAUGGGACCAUGAUGUUCAGUUGAGACAACUCCAGGUGGAGCCUCUAUUGCAAGAGGACCGAGCAGGUCGCUAAGGAGAUCGGGUGAUGGAGUUUGUGGAUCUAUAUUACUUAAAGUUCCAUUAGGCUGAGAGAGAGAUCGAGCAACUGAAUUGGGGUCCUGCUAGACAAGUAAGGAAAAACAGACUGUGAGAGAUAAUAAGAUAAUAGUAUGUGCUAUAUAAGACAGAGCACACAAAACAUGACUCAUUCGGGGCCUACAAAGAGAAGUACUCACCAUGCUUCCACUAACAAUUGGAACCUUCAAAGGUGGGGGUGCCCCGUUAACAGGCUGUGGGUCAGCCAAAACCAAAGCAUUUGAAGGCUGUUGUUGUGCUCUAAGCUUAAUGGCACUCUGGUCUGCGGUGUCUUCAACGUCUUCUGCCUUUUUGAUCAAUGAAGACUAUGGAAGAGACACAGAAAAAAAACCAGCAUUAGAUCUAUUAGCACAAACGUCCUUUCACAGUAACUCAUAGAGUCAUAAAAUGUUUUACAAACCUGGCGCUCUGGAAAUUUUGGCAUCUCAGCUAAUACAUCCAUAAAGGCAGCUCCUUUUUUACUCAACUCAAAGUAUUCAACUGCCCUCUGCUGUAUUUCUACAUCAAUACAACUCUCAUACCUGCCAAAACAAAAUUUUUUUAGGAAAUUCGAUUGGAUUACCAGAAAAUAUAAACAGAACAUAAAAUAAUAAGCAAAAUAUUGGGAAGGACAACAAGGUUUGCAAGUCUCACUUCUUAAAUACAGCCCAAAUUCUUUUUUGCAGUUCUGGAUCGGGGGGUUGAGUGUGCAUAAGAAGCUUCGCAUAUGUGGAAAGAAGAAUAGGAAUGGUGGGAGUCCUGAGAAAAGAAAAAAGGGAAAAGAGGAAGCAUUUAAGACAUACCCAAAGAGAAGAAGAGCACAAUGCAGCAUUUGUGUUGCCCUUACGAUACUGUGGGAAGCUUUUCAUGUAAGAUGCUAAAGAGUUCACUUGCACUACAUCCAGGUUGUCUAGCUAAAAGGUGACCAUACUCCCCCAAAAUAUAAGCACUGACCUGAAAAUUAGAAGAUAACCAAUAUUUUGGUAUUAAGCAUUCUUAUUUUGUACUUUGCAAACAAUUUAGAUACAGAUAUAACUGUAUCAGAAUGUGUAGCAAGGUAGUAGCUCUAAUUCCAAUUUAAAUUACAUUAUUAUUUAUCAGCAAUAUGCAAUAUAGAGAAUGUGUUAAUGGGAAGCGAGAAUGCACAACCUUCACCAUGGUCUCAUGUAUUGCGAUUUUGUCCAAAUAUUCUCUUGCUUUUGAUGCGGCGUAUGGCUGUCAUAUAAAAAACAGUUGUAAGCUUUCUGAGUGUCAUGAGUAGGAUAAACAAUAUAAUUUAUCCUAAAAACGUUUUUAAACCUGCAGGUCUUCAUUAUUUGUGACAAACUGAACAACACGAAACCAAAUAUCAUCGCUAACAAAAUCCCCAGCCUUGUCGAUCAACUGAAGGAUCACAUCUACAUACCUGAGAACAUCAAAGUUAACAUCUCAACCAGUUGUUUGUGUAAGGAUCUAAAAAGUGACACCAAAUGGCCAAUGCAUGUCACUGUAACCAAAUUGUGUGCAUGAAAAAGGUGUGCAUAUACUUUUUUCGAGUUCUCCUUACCAUGAUAGAUCAGGAGCAAACUUCUCAGCUAGGAUAGCAGCUUUAAGUGAUAAUUCCUCCCGCAUAGAAAACUCUGCUGUGCUAAGAUACUGCAAUGUAUUUUUAGGUUCCAUGUAAGCUUAAACACUACACAACUUAAUCCUUCCUUUCUGUUAAACUUCACAAGUCAUAAGGAGAUUACAAAUCAAGAAAAUAUCAAUAUGAAGCAAGGUCAAAGAAUUACCUGCAACAACUCUUCGACUAUAUCCUUUGCAUUUGACACAUCACACAUCCCAUAUAGCAAAUCAAGAGCUCGUCUACGAAUACUGCAGAAAGUUGAAACCAAUAGUGAAUCUGAUACCAUUAGCAAAAGAGCCAAGAGAAUAUAAAUCAAACUAUUUAUUCUUGAAACAGAAGCCACAAUUUGCAACGGGAAUAGGAUUAAUACCUAAUGGACUUAAGAUAAAAAUAAUAGAGCUAUGACUGAUUUCAUGAUUAAAAAAAUUGUUGUUCUGGUUCCAAACUAGAGCAUUAAAGAGGUACUGAUCCGGGUUCACAAGCCAUAAAAGCUGAUGCUGAGAUGGAAAAUUAAACUAACCUGAUGUCAGGGUCUUUCAAGGAGGUGAUUAUCUGAGACUGAUGCUUUUUUAUGAUAUCUUGAACAUCUGUGACCAUCAGCAUUCGUGUCAUAUUUUCCUGCAAUGUUUUCAAUACAUGCAUCAUGAGAAGCCACAUAGUGCACCACCAAACACUUUACAAGUUACUGUUCUAGCUAGGCUUAGAUACAGGAAGUGGGUAUCUGAGAUCUUACCAAGCCUAGAUAUCUGAUGUUGGGUUCCCGGACAGAAAUAAACUUGCCAAGAAGAGCAACACACUGUGACAUCAUUUCCUUCUCAGCAUCAAGAUGCAUGACCUAUAUUGAAACAGAUUAACAAGUUAGGAGGUUGCACACUAAGCCAGAGAUUGUUGAGCAAACUCACAACUAUCCAUGAUAAACCUCUUAGAAAUAGUGUCAAACCUUCACGCAGAGCAAGUAAUAUUAUUUACGUUCAAACAAGAAUAAGAACCGACAAAGAAUUCAAACACACGAAGUUUCUCCAGCAAAGCCAAAAAAAUAUUUUAAAAUAUUCAAGCACACAUUAGUAUUCUGUUUUGAGUAAAUGUGAUUGAACCAGAAGUUAAGGAGGUGUAAAGAGGAAUGGGAUAGAGAUUGGUGCACUAGUAAAUUUCAUGGCAUCAAAUUUUUCCUCAGCUGUUUCACGAACUUACCAGGGAUAGAGCUUCAAACAGAACAGCAUGAGAUGCAUUGUUCUUAUUCACAUUUUUUACAACAUCUGUUCCCAUCAAUAUUCGCUGAAGGACCUGAAAUUUCCAUGAAAUGUCAUGAGAGAGAAUACAAAAUUUUUUUUUAAAGAUUUACACAAGAAAAAAUGAACCUCAAAGAGAGCUUUUCUGGUACUGGGAUCUUCAAUGGUUGGGAAAUAUUGAAGAGCCCUCAUUGCCUUAACCUGUACUAAUCACAGAUAUAUAAGUAUCCAAGGUACCUUUAACUGAGCAACAAAAAUACACCAAAGCUGGGUCAAGCCUCUUUAUAGGCUUAUUUCACAUAAAAUGUUUAAAAGCAGGGGAAUGGAAAAAGAUGUGACUAAAAAAAAUACAGCUAUGUUAAACAAGACUAAAUAAGCUGGGUUAAGACAAACCUGCAGCCAAGGAGAUGGAAUGCCAUAGUAUGUGUACUCCUGAGGGACGUCCUGGUUCCUAGCAAGGCGUUCCAAUAUUUUGACACAUUUAGGUAGACAACUUGAGUACGCCUCAUGAUUAUAAGAUACCAGAGCUACAAGAAGACUUGUAGAGGAUGUCAAGACACCAAGAUCUCGUUCAUCCAAGAGUUGUGCCAUACGAUCCGCCCUGAAUAUACAUGACGAUGAGGAUAUAUGAAAGAUGCACGAGUAAAACCAAACAACCAGUAACCCCAGAGUAUUAAUACAUACCAGCCAUCCACGUUGACAGCAUCAGGAUUUUUUCGGAAUAAUCGCAGUAGGCAUAAUGCUGCUUUUUUCCUUACAAGAGGUCUGCAACUACUAGAAAUCUGCAGCAAACAAGCCCCAUUUAAUAUUUUCACUUAUAUUGAAUAUAACCCAUAGCUUGUCGUCCUUUGGAAUCACUUACAAGUAGCUUUUGAACAUCAGGAGCCAAUGACUCAGCAAAAUCUCUUCCACCGAUAUUUCCAACCUACAGGACAGAGAAAGCAUGGCAAGGUAAGAAAGCUAGGAAAAACUAAUACCAAUUUAAUGUAGUAAAAAGGCUUUAAAUCAUGCAUAGAGCACGAAAGACAUAAUGUAUUCAAAGACUUUCACUAAAACAGCCAUUUAACUACAUCUCUUAAUCAGAAAGACCUAACUAUGCUGUAAGAUCUCAACGUAGUAUGGACAAGAGACCACAUACCAAGGUCAGUGCUAGGCAUUGGAAAGUCUCAUUCCGACCGAUAAUAUCGUUCCGCACUGUAUUUAUUGCCAACCUCAAAAAGUCAUGAUUUUCAUUGAGCAAACAAGAUGUAACAAUGUAGCCAACCUGUAAUCAUUGAUGAAAAGUUUAAUACCUGCAAAUUAGGUCAGGAACAUAAAACAAUAUAAAUUGAAAACGCAAACCCUUGGGAUACAAGAAUAGUUCCUGGUUAAGAGUUGCUAAGAAGUUACUAAGUAAGUCAUGCAUAUAAAUAAAUGCCUCCAAUACUAUACCAAGGCCAUCCAAACUGAAUAAGUUGCAAGGGCGUGAAAUAGUAUCAAAGUCUACCAUUCCACUAUCUUCUGAGUUUUUUUUUUUUCUUUUUUUGAGCUUAAUCACUAGACUUGAAUCAGAGAAAUACCCCCACCUAUUCUCUUCUCCUAGCCUUAGAAAGCAAUAUUUCAUUUCUUGAGAAAACAAAACAUCGACUUACCUGCUUUUCUGGAUACUUUGGCGCAGAUAUAAGCGAAACCGCCUCCAUAUGGCCAAAAUCCACAUCGUAGCCUAACAUAUGUAUAUAAAGCAUUUUCCAAACAUAUUUCUUCUUUUUAUAUGGUGUCAAAACCUGUAAAAUAUAAAACAACGAGGAGAAAGUAAUCAAAGAGUGCAUUUAAUUCAUUUCUAAAAUGAAACUCUUUCUACGAAUAAAUCUGGUGUUGGUCCAACUGGCCACACAUGGACACUACAGGUCGGCUACAGCUCUGCUACUUAUGGUAUGGAACCGGAAUUUCACCGCGACAUCAACAUAACUCUUCUUAAUUAGCUAUUGUAAAUCUUUCAGUAACCCUUCAUUCUUUCCUUAGACCAUCACUACAUAACCGAAGUUACUGCCUGGCCUUUCUUUCCUUAUAGCACUCUAAUAUAAUUAUGUUCUUAAAUAAACAUAGAAUAGUUUAUAGUCUUCCAUCUAUCAACUUGAAAUAUACUCACGACAUUCCAUUAGAAAGCAGUAAUGAUGUUUUAAAGAGUAAUAAAAUGGCUAGCUAUACAACGGAAACACUACACUGCAUCUUUGUUUCAACUACAUUCUUCUCUAACUCCUUUUAUCAACCUAUCCUCAUCUCUAACAUAAGGAAUUCUAAUUAAUUUUUAAGUAAAACAAUCUCAUAAGGAGAAGUAUCUCACAUAUCUGUAAUCAAUACAGAACCUCAAGGGAUACUUGGACACUGAAUUACCACUCUCAAUUGAGAAUAUAAUACAGAUAAAACAAAAAAAGAAGAUAAUGGACUGCCCACAGAGAAGAAGCCUCAAACCUUUUCAUUUUUGAAGCAUGUACGUAUGUUCCCGAGCUCUUUAUCAACUCUGAGUCGCUCGGCUUCCUUGUUCUGGCAAUUACGUAUGUCGCUAAUGAAGACUGAGAGACCUCUCAUUCCGGUCAUGGUGGAACCGAGUCCCGCAGAUCCACCGUCCUCCGCCGCCUCACACGGAGCAGAUCGAAACUCACCAAACCGGAUCUACCAAGGAAGUAAAAUCGCAAACUAGAGCUGAAGCAUAAGCAAAUUCGCUGGGAGCAGAGAUCGAAACCCGAAUCCAGAAACGUAAAUAAUGACACCUCCGAUGGAAGAAAAUUCAAAAGGAGAGAGUGAUCUUUGCACACGAGGAGAGAGAAGCCUGCGGGGGAGAGUCAGACGACUUAUACUUUUCUUUAUUUACAACUAAUGACUGUUUAAUUUUUUUGUGUAAUUUUGGAAAAUCCUAAAUUGACUCGUCAAAAAACAAAAUUACGCGUCUAGGCCUUUGGACUCAAUUUGAUAAUUUAUAAGUUUGCGUACUAUUUUGUCAAAAACUCGUCUCCUUGCACCCUCUAGGGUAAUAUUUUAUUUACUGCAGCUCAUUAAUUCGUUUCACUUUUACUUUGUCGCGGUGAAUGCAUUCAAUUUUACGAUGAGAAAUCGGGUUAGCUCGGGUCGGGUCAUGCCGUUGUUGUGUAUAUGGGCUAAGCUUUGUCCCACCACAAUAUUUAUGGGACCGAAUCGAGUAGGCAUACAAUUGUGUCGGUCUGGAGAAAUAUGUAUUUCAUUCUUUUGUCUGUUUCGGAUUAUUGAAUACGAAAUGUGAUUAUAAACUUUAUUAAUUUACACAAAAGUUACAGUUGAAGGAAUAUAGAUUAAUUGGAAUAUUAAAGUUAAUGAUGGGAGUAAAAAUAGUAUUAGGGGGGCACAAAACAGAAACAAGAGAACAAAAAAGAUGCGGAUCAUCAUUUAGUAGCAGUUGGAUGACAGGGGUGACCAAGCUGUCACUAAGAAGAUCCCUACAUCUAAUAUCAAAUGAUGCUUGCCAUUAAAGUAUCCUAAGAAUAUUUUGAUUCUUUUGUUUUUUUGCAAGCAAUAUAUGAUAUAUCGUUUUUCCUUUUUAAUUUGCUUUAAAAUUUUAUUUUACUUAUUUAUUGAUACCAACAAAUUCUCCUUUUCCAACUUCUUACUUUUUUUACGGGGAAAAAGGUAAAAAGGAAAGGGAAAAAAAUGUCUCUAAAAUUACACGAGUGAGUCACACACUCAAAAGUCAAAACGUCAAAAAGGCCAAAAAUGACGUUUAGUCGACGUAAUUCGCAAAAUAUUUUGUGGACACUUUAUUUAUUUAUAAAAUGCAGAUGCUAAAUGCUGAUAAAAUGUUCAAGAGUAUUGCAUUAUGCCUACGAUUAAGAAAACUAAACUCCAUGAGAUUCUCAACUUCCAAAAACCAAAUCGAAAUUUGUUGUCUCGAGUAUUCCGGUUAGAAGAAUCCGGUACAGCUCACUGACCACAUUCUUUCACUAGCUCUCGCUAAAAUACACUACUAAUCUCAUUAACGAUAUUUAGAUAACCAACAUCCCCCAUCAGAUUAGUAUCUUCGGAGGAAACAUCUAGGCUGGUUUACUACUGGACGCCGGACAAUUUGGCCCAAUCUACAAAUUGCAUACCGCCAUAUACAUUGUUAGCAAACCGGACUCCCACCGUGAAUGCCAUGGCCACCACAGGGAUGCGUUUGGCCGCGGAAGAACCUUCCACCACGCGUUCGAGGCCGUUGACAAUUUGGUAACGCGCAUUGGAAGAUAAGCCAAGGAACACACCUGAAGAAAAGCACAAUAUAGAGAAGAGAGUGAGUCUUUAUGUAAUCAACAAUUCAUAGAGUGAACUUCAGGUUUGUCUCUGAGCUCUGUAAUUAAAUUACCCUGUCCAUAAAUCUAAUAUUGCAAACAACAUAACAAUCUAGCUAAUACCUUUCACCAGAAUCUGUCGCAUAAUCAAUUCUUGGUAUCUAUCAUUGGCAAUUAAGGUUCUUUACUUUCUAAAAGCUAAGACAGGUUAAAAAAAAACCUAUGGCUGAUAACAAGAACUCGUAAAAAGAGUAAGACAACACAAUAUUGACGGUUCAAGACUGUCGUUUUCAACAUCAGAGUCGUUUACAUCCAACAUCAGAGGAGAAAAGCUAUCAUGACUCUGCAGAACAAAGUUAGAGAUCAAAAGAAAAGCUUACCCCAUAGAGCAGCGCUUUCGAAAAGAGGUGGAAUAGGGACGUCUUCCUCUGAUUUCUUCACACUCCUAUUGACAUAGGAAACCCCAAAUUUCAGUGAAGAACAGUUUUUAGACAUUCAAACCCCAAACCCCAGAGAAACUCAGAACUCAGAAGACUCAUUUCAUCAUAAACUCAGAUCAAAUAAGCUCGAUGGUGAAAGAAUACCGUUUUGCCGUCAUGAUCAGGUUUGCAAUUCCCUGACCGAUGAGGCCGCAGCCGAAUCCAACCGACCCAUACAAGAGUCCCUAGACAAAGAAACACAUCGAUUAAAUUAAAUCAAAGGUAAGGAUGAUCCACAAAGAACAAUAAAGCAAUAGUUCUUCUCCAUACCUUGUAGAAGAACGUUGCAAUGCGCUGGUUAACUGAGAAUUUACAUCCCGGUCUUUCAGCUUCAAAAACACUUCAUAAGAACACAAAAAAACCGUAUAAAUACAUCUCAUCCCGAAUAUGCAGCCAUCAUCAGUGGGAACAGUUAACCCAUUCCGAUAAGCACCAGUGGGAACAGGUAACCCAUUUGUACAUUACUUGGAGCCAUAAGUGAAGAAAAAAAAACAACCGAGAGACAGUGACAGUCUUACCUGCUAGGAAGGGAUGCACAAGCACGUCUAAGGUCCUUGAAUAAACCUGUUGAUGAUGCCACGGACGGCUUCCCAAUACGUGCAUAGGGAGCCAAUAAUCCAACCAACGCAACAUCAACCACAAGACCAACUAAAAGAUCAGCAGCAUACAGCUCAAACUCUGACCAGAAAUCUUCCCCUCUUUUCUGUACUUCUGCAAAAGUUGCACAGCAAGAGUCUAUGGCUACCUGCAUUAAAUCCGUAGAACAAGAUCUUUCACAUUCAAUCCUUGGACACAAUCCUAAAUAAGUAGUCCAAGAAAAAUGUUAGCUUAACCGUUGACAAACCUCGGUUCCAACUUUGAAAAGAAAUGAAGGAUCUGCAAGCAUUCUAUUUCGAAGCAUCGCACAUGACCUCAUCAGAAACCCAAGCGGCCAAACAGAACCCUACAAAAAUUUUAACCCUCAAUCAUGAAUACAUCAUACACUUAUAAUCAAAAUAAGAAUCACUAGCACAUUUUAACAAAAGCAAAAACCUGUAGAUCGAGGUAACGAAGAAGGAACAGUUUCCGAAUCCCCACAGAUUUAGCCGCCUCCAACAUAUCCUCCGGUAACGUAAUCCCUCUACGUUCUGUCUCUUUCAUAACUUCGUCAAACUUCAAUAUCGGACCAAACUCCUUCUCCUCAGCUUUAUCUGCUUCAUCCUCUCCAUCAUCGCCUUCUCCGUCUCCUCCUCCUCCUCCGCCUCCAUUACCACCAUUUCCACCGCCGUCAUUAUUCCCAUCCCCAUCGCCGCCAUCACCAUCAUCAAGCUCCGGCUCCAGAUCGCUUAAAGUCUCAUCCUUUAAGCCGCUAUAAGCCCACUCCGGUACUGAUCUACCGGAGAUUUCACCGGUAAGCACAUCCGAUCCCACACAUCGGAGUUUCAAAUUCCGAGAAGACAAGUCCGAGUUCAAAUGGAUCCGUCUAGAUUCAACACCAGGGCUUCUACGGAAACAAAUCGACCCAAUUCCAAACCUUUGACCGGCUCUGCAUUGCUUUCGCAGCUCUACACUAUUGAACCUAUCGUUGGAGAAUGUUGAAAUGUGGGAAAUUUUUAGGGAUAUAGACAUUUGCCUAUUCCAAAAUUCUCGAGUUUAUGUGAUCUAUGAAAUGAAAGUUGCUUAAAAGUUAUAAAUGAAUUUUGGAGUUAAAGACGGAAGAUGACGGAGUUAUGUAUGCGUUUUGAUCAGUUGGUCGAGGUUUAAGGGUUUUUGAACAUACAUACACUCAUGCCGUAAUAGGGGAGACGACCAAGGAGGAGAGAAUAAUCAGGUACGGCUAUCUAUACAGAAAGCUAAACAAAUGGCGACAUGGUAUUGGUUGAAAAGAUUCCGUAAAAGCAUAAUUAGGGAGUGUUUUAAUGACUUUAGAUGUUUAUUUUUUUGUACGAUUAAUGACUUUAGAUGUUAGGUAGAAUAUGUUGUUAUUCAAUCAAGAUUUUACUAAAUUCUUUUAAAGUUUGGUGAUAUUAGUUACUGAUUUGUAAAAAUUCAUUUAAAAUCUUAAUAAAUAUGUGGUUAUUGGAUUUGGAGUUUUACAAAGUUUAUGUGUUAUUAAAUUAAAACAAAAGAAUCUCUGAGUGUUAAUGAAUUAAAAUUUUGUGUUAUUGGUUUAUGAUUUUAAACUCUUUUUUUUACAAAAUAAAGUCAUAAAAAGUAUCUUAUAAAUACAUGGAUUGUUUGUGAGACUUUACAAGACUAUAAAAAAAUUAAUCAACAAGAUUUCAGAAAAUUCUCAAACAAUCCUUUAAACUCUCAAACAAUCAUAAUGAUUUUACUAAUCAUCUAAAUUUCUUAUAAGUUAGAAUCCAAUAACACCCCCUUAGUUUACUACUCCAAUAAUUUUCUCGGCCGUAGAGUCCCAAAUAAGUCAAUAACGAUUUCAUACAGCUCGAGUUUUUGUGAACCGUGAUGAUAAUAAAGAAGCAACUCUUGUGUUGGGUUUCUCGAAAUAUUGUCUGAAGAUCAAAUAAUUCGGUGCCGCGAGGAGCUAUAAGCUGAGAGAGCUUCCUUUCAGGGUGAGUCAUGGGAAGUUUCAUUUGAUUUUUUCGAGUUAAUCAGAACAUUUCUUUUUGGAUGAACUGAAUUUUCUGAUACUCUAAAAUUUGCUUCUAUUUUUUUUUUCUUUCCUAGUUUUAUUAGAUCGAGAGACUCAUCAUCAUUUCACUGUUGGUAUUUUAAAGUUUGAACUCAAGAUUUUUGGUAGAUAAAGGAGAAUCAUUUGUUUUUUUCAUCUAUAAGAAAUUGAAUAAAACUGAAGUUUGGAUUUGGUGAUUAUUAUGUCGAUGCAGAAGGAACAUCUAUUGAAUGGCCGAGGCAGUUGUAACUUUUGGAUUGCAGAAGCUAUGGGAGCUUCUAGUUCGAGAAACCAACCGGCUAAAAGGAGUCCAUAAACAAGCUACUGAACUACAAAGCGACUUAAAAAGGCUCAAAUCGUUUGUGAAAGAUGCAGAAACUAAGAAAAGUAAAAGUGAGAGAGUGAGAAACUGUGUGGAUGAGAUUGUAGAGAUUGUGUAUGAUGCUGAGGACAUAAUCGAGAGUUUUCUUAUCAAAGAAGAAAAGUGUGGAAGAGAAAGAGGGAUUAAGAAGCAUUUAAGGAGUGUUUCUUGUAUUACAUUUUCUGACCAGGAGUUUGGUUUACAAAUCAGAAGCAUUAUCACUAGAAUCUCCAAGGUAAUAGACAGUAUGGAGAGAUUUGGAGUGAGAGAGAUCAUCAACAAAGAAGAAGAAGAAGAACUAGUUGGUAAAUUUGUGGAGAUACGACAAUCUUUUCCUAGCGUUUCUGAAAGCAGCCUUGUUGGUGUGGAGCGUAGUGUUGAAGAAUUAGUGAGUCAUCUUGUUGGAGAGAAUGGUGUUCAAGUGGUCUCAAUAUACGGGAUGGGCGGUGUUGGGAAAACCACUCUUGCUAGACAAGUUUUUCAUCAUGAGAUGGUGCAGCGCUAUUUCAGUGGAUUCGCUUGGGUGUUCGUUUCACAGGAGUGUAGACAAAAACAUGUGUGGCGGGCGAUAUUACAGAGCCUUAGACCGAAAAGUGAGGAACAGAGAAUUGUGGAUAUGACAGUGUCUGGACUCCAAGAUGAGCUGUUUAAACUACUUGAAAUCGAGAAAUGCUUGAUUGUCCUUGAUGAUUUAUGGAGCAGUGCAGCUUGGGAGCUUAUAAAGCCAGCAUUUCCACAUAGAUCAGGUGAUUCUUGACCAUGAAUCAUAAUGUUUUUAUGUAGAAUAUUUCUGAAAUUCAAAAGCAUUUGUCUCAGUUGGUGUCUAAUAUUGAAACAUGGUCAACUUUUCCAGCUAGCAAGGUAUUACUCACUUCUAGGAAUGAGGGUGUUGGUUUGCAUCCAGAUCUAAGAUCCGUCAUCUUUAGGCCUAGAUGCUUAACUCAUGAAGAAAGCUGGGAAGUUUUUCAAAACAUAGCUUUGUUUGAGAGAAACGAUAUAGGUAUGCCCUUAACUAUACAAGAAACCAAAGAUAAAUUUGAAAGGUAAUCUAAACGCUAAAAAGAAUGAGCUAAGAGACUAAUGUUUUGUGUGUAGAGUUUCAGGUUGAUGAUAUAUUCGAAGAGAUUCAACAAAUGCUCAAACAUUGUGGAGGGUUACCAUUAGCUGUGAAAACUCUUGGAGGGUUGUUAGCUACAAAACGUACAGCGUCCGAGUGGAUAAAGGUACACAACAAUAUUGGAUCUCAUAUUGUAGGAGAGAUUGGUGAAAAUGGCGGAAUCGGUAGUUUGGUAUGCAAUGUGAUAUCUUUGAGUUAUGAAGAUCUACCUUCUCAUUUGAAGCAUUGCUUUCUCUACCUUGCUCAUUACCCAGAAGAUCAUGAGAUACAAACAGAGACAUUGUUCAAUUACUGGGUGGCAGAAGGAAUAGUGAUGAUGCAUAGUGAAGAGACUACUAUCGUAGAUCUAGCUGAGGAUUAUCUGGAGGAAUUGGUUAAAAGGAGUAUGGUAUUAGUUGGGAAGAGGAACACUGUGACAUCAAGAAUUGAAUCUUGUCGUCUGCAUGAUAUUGUUAGAGAAGUUUCUUUGUUUAAAGCUAAAGAAGAGAAUUUCAUACAAUUUUUCAGUGCUCAGAUCCUUGUCUCGAAUGCUACUAACGCUCUGUCACCAACUGUAUCCACCAACAGAUCACGCAGACUCGCUGUACAUUUGGUUGAUGCUGAAGAAAAUGAACCUUGUAUAUUUCAGCAAAAACAGAUUCAAAACCCCAAAGCAAGGACCCUUUUGUAUAUCACUAGAGAUUUCAGUCCUUGGAUAUUAUCAACCCCAAGUUUUGGAGGUUUACAAUCACUUAGAGUAUUGGAUCUCUUUGGAGCACAAUUCAGAAGACGCAAGUUACCUAAGGGCAUAGGGAAGCUGAUACACUUGAGGUACCUGAGUUUGAAAGAGACAAACUUGUCUGUGUUGCCGUCUUCUAUUGGGAAUCUAGUGUUGUUGGUUUAUUUGGAUUUGGAGAUUUACGAGACAAUGGUUCACAUACCAAACGUCUUAAAGAAGAUGAAGAAGCUGAGAUAUCUUAUGUUACCCGACGAACUAAGCUCUAAAACGAAGUUGGAGCUAAGUGCUUUAGUGAAGUUGGAGACCCUCAAGAACUUUUCAUUAAAGCACAGUAGCGCUAAAGAUCUCAUCAAUAUGACCAAACUCAGAACUUUGUGGAUCUGUUGUGCCUCUGUUAACCCUGAAGAGGAAGUAUUACCUUAUUCGCUCGGUGCAUCACUGAAACAGUUGGAGGAGUUGAUGUUAUACAACAAAAUAAAUGACCAGGCUGAAGCCAUGAAGAUCGAUGCAGGAGCCUUUGUUUCAAGUUUUCUAAGACUCAACCAAUUAAGUUUAGAUAUAAAGAUAGAUAAGUUACCUAAUGAAGCUCAAUUCCCUUCCCGGAUCGCUUUUGUUUCAUUAUCCUCUUGUGACCUACCCGAGGAUCCAAUGCCAGUUCUUGAGAAGCUACAUAGCUUAAAAAUUCUUAGUCUAGAACUUAAUGCUUUCACAGGGAGGAAAAUGGUAUGCUCAAAAGCCGGCUUCCCUAAAUUGCACACUCUAGAGUUUUCAAUACUUGAUAACCUUGAAGAGUGGGUCGUAGAAGACUAUUCAAUGUCGUGUCUUUGUCAUUUAGAGAUCAAUGACUGCAGAAAGUUGAAGAGUCUUCCUGGUAGAUUAAGAGACAUCACUACUUUAAAGGAGCUAAGAGUAGGAUGGAUGAAGAAUGAAUUCAAGAACAAGUUAAUCCAAGGUGGAGAAGAUCACUUCAAAAUCAAACAUGUAGCUUCUGUUAUGUUUUACAAUUGUGGGGACGAAUAAGAAACAAGUCUUUUGUCAUUAUACAAUACUCGACCAUUUUGUUUCUCACAUUUUGAGCACAAACUUGCUUCUGCAUACCUUGCUAUAACAUAGAAUCGAUGUUACAAAAAGGAAAAAGAAAAAACUUUAAAAUCAAUUUCACAUUUUAAACCAACCAAGCCAAUCCGAAAUUGUUCUAGUCAAUCAUAUCACGGUUAAGGUUUAACCAAAAAGAUUUCAAGCCAUUUCGUACUAAACCAAAAUUAGAAAAAUCUGAGAUUAACGGUUAAACGUUUACAACAGUACAAUAAGUAUUUAUUACUUCUAAUUUUAGUAAAUUUGUUAGCAUGAUUAUGUUUAACUCAAAUUGUCAUUAUAACAAAAAGAAUUAUUCUUAUUUUUUUGUCCACAGCUUUUAUAAAUAGACUCAAUUGAACCAAGAGUUUAGAAAAUUGUUUACAUAGAGACAAAGUAUCGGUUCAACACGCGCUCGGCGUGCCAACUUAUCCGCUUAAAAAUUAGAGUAACGAGAGACUUUAACUAACGAGAAAGAAAUAAACACUUCCUUGUUUUAAUGACAACUAGGGAUGAACCCGCACAUACGUGCGGGGUUGAUUUCGAAAGUUUGUAUUACAUACGUGCGUGCAGGGUUGAUUUCAAUAUAUUACAUAUGUGCAAGAUUAAGUUUGUAAACGUAUUUUUAAGUAAUGUUAUUUAAUUCAUAAUCAGAAGAAUUCAUAUCAGUUUCAUGUCGUUUUUAAUUCGAGUUAGAUAAAGAAAUUAUCAGAUUUGUUUUCGUUAAGUUAAGAACAUUACAUAAAAGAAAAAUAGUAAAACAAAAAGUCACAAUAAGAUGAUUAUUUUAUAACCGUAAUGUCCCAUCUCAUCUAUAUCAUGUUUUCCAUCUUAUAAUCGUGGUUUUAAAACUCAUUUGAGAUUAUAUAUUUUAGUCUAACAUAUAAAAGAAUAGGUAAGAGUUUCGGAGCCACAAAUACGUUUGCUUUGCUUUCUUCAAAUUUUUGAAUGUUUGAAAUAAUAAUCGCUUUAGAUCGACAUGAUAGCGGAUCCGGAUAAAGUGUAAACCGGAUUAGUGAUAAUCUAGAUUUCUAUGUAAAUCGUGAACUAUCAAACCAGGUAAAAACAACCAAAAAAAACACUAAAACUUCUUGAAACAAAUGACCCAAAUAUAGUUGUCAAGCGAGUCAAACUCGUCCACUAUGUCUGGCCUGCAACGAACUAUAAUAUUUUAACCCGCCAAAACCCGUUCUUCGAAAUUCGCAUGAGUAAAUAGUAUAUAUGUAUCUCCCUUAGUUGAAUAUGUGUUAUCCAAAAUUUAUGCCUUGUAUUUUACCAACAUUACGUUAGACACUAUUUUUUUAUUAUUUUCCGAAUUACCAGCGCUUUUCAUGUACCCAUUAUUUCAUCUUUCAAUAUUUAAAAUAAAUAGGAAAUUUUAGCUAUUUUAAUUUCACGUUUCUGUAUUGUACUCGUAAAUUGAUAUUUGAAAGUCAAAAUUGAAUUUAAUUAUCCAAAUUAUCCAAAUAUUUCGAAGUAUAUAAUGCUAUGUUCAACUCUCGGUAUUCCUCUAUCUGUAUAAUACAUUGAAUGUACAGAGGUGGCUUUAUAACUAUCAUACUAUAGAUAUAAUAUAUGUAGAUGUAACUUAAUAAUUUUCAUAUUUAGUGUAAAAUUUGAAAUUUUUAAAUUUUAGCUAGCCAAAAACAGUUUGUUAUUUUUAUGUCCAGUUCCAUAUUAUUAAAAAUAAUUUUUAGUAUUUAAAUUACAUCUUCCUACUAUUUUACGUUAUUUUUUUUUUAAUUUGCAAUAUAUAUAAUUUUAUGUCUACACCCACUACAUAAUCAAAAAGAUCAUGUCAUUAUCAUGGUUUGUGAGAACGAAAGAAUCUUGUUCCAUUUUAAAUAAUUUGUUUAAAAAUCUAGUUUAAUAUGUAGAUGUUAUACACUCGAUUUUGAAUCAUACAAAAUAUAUUUCAAUAUGUAGAUUUAAUAUAG